RNAcentral lists this ribosomal RNA (238 nucleotides) under uncultured bacterium. RNAcentral describes it as "partial 16S ribosomal RNA". It matches the Rfam family "Bacterial small subunit ribosomal RNA", at positions 96 to 334 of the family's 1533-position model. The record is from RNAcentral.
UGGCGGACGGGUGAGUAACGCGUGGGUAACCUGCCUCAUACAGGGGGAUAACAGUUAGAAAUGACUGCUAAUACCGCAUAAGACCACGGAGCCGCAUGGCUCAGUGGGAAAAACUCCGGUGGUAUGAGAUGGACCCGCGUCUGAUUAGGUAGUUGGUGGGGUAACGGCCUACCAAGCCGACGAUCAGUAGCCGACCUGAGAGGGUGACCGGCCACAUUGGGACUGAGACACGGCCCAA